GAUGAACGCUAGCUACAGGCUUAACACAUGCAAGUCGAGGGGUAACGAGAGGAAAGCUUGCUUUCCUUGUCGACGACCGGCGCACGGGUGAGUAACGCGUAUCCAACCUGCCCCCAACUAAGGAAUAACCUUGCGAAAGUAAGACUAAUACCUUAUAAUUUCCUCAGAUGUCAUCUGACGAGGAAUAAAGAUUUAUCGGUUGUGGAUGGGGAUGCGUCUGAUUAGCUUGUUGGCGGGGUAACGGCGCACCAAAGCAACGAUCAGUAGGGGUUCUGAGAGGAAGGGCCCCCACAAGGGAACUGAGACACGGCCCAAACUCCUACGGGAGGCAGCAGUGAGGAAGAUUGGCCAAUGGGCGAAAGCCUGAACCAGCCAAGUAGCGUGCAGGAUGACGGCCCUAUGGGUUGUAAACUGCUUUUAUACAGGAAUAAAGUUAGCCACGUGUGGUUAUUUGUAGGUACUGUAUGAAUAAGGACCGGCUAAUUCCGUGCCAGCAGCCGCCGUAA
This 506-nucleotide ribosomal RNA is filed under the name uncultured bacterium. RNAcentral's name for it is "partial 16S ribosomal RNA". It matches the Rfam family "Bacterial small subunit ribosomal RNA", at positions 28 to 523 of the family's 1533-position model. The record is from RNAcentral.